RNAcentral lists this long non-coding RNA (1488 nucleotides) under Mus musculus (house mouse). RNAcentral describes it as "long non-coding RNA chr7:24106206-24107694". The record is from RNAcentral. Lineage: Eukaryota; Metazoa; Chordata; Mammalia; Rodentia; Muridae.
GAAGUGACAGUGUGAGAAGAAUGCACAUAGACCCUUUCCUUACCCCCAUGUCGACGAAAGAAAGGAGUAAAGCCUUCAGUUUGGCAGAUGUGGAUAAGAGGUCUCCGGAGAAGAAAAACUGUUACACACGGGCUGGGGUGUGUUCUUGAAUGACUGUGCAGGCGUCAUCCCUAAGCCAAGCUCAGAAGGCCACUUCCUGACUGGCAGAAGUUGUUUCCCAAAGCACUUCGUACAGAGAAGGCAGAAGCUAGACUUAGAAAAACUGAAUGUUAGAUCAAAUACUGCAAGUUUAGUGCAGAAGCCCUCUAGUUUGAGUUCUGGCCUGGUCUUUGAGAGCACAGCUUCUCUGUUGCAAAGCUGACACUCUGUAAAUUUAGUUCAGGAGGUAUGUGUUCUAAAAUGCUCUUACUUAGGAAAGUAACUGCUGGCCAUCAGCUUUGCUGUCCUGCCUCUGGCUCUUUUCCUUCAUGCUACUAGGUGGCUGAGCCACGACCUCCCACCUCAUCUCCCCAUCAGAGUCUUCAGACCUACUCACUGCAGGCAGACGGGUCACUUAAUCCCUCAUUUAUGCAGGCUUAACCAAUCAGCUUCCAGUCAUAGCCAAACGUAAGCUCACUUGGGAGUAUCUUACUGCUCUUGAAAGAGCUGCUUUUCUAUCUCAAAGCUUUGCUUGCUCUUCUGCUGUCCUCACUAGUCAUUCCGUGCCAUCAGGAGACAACAUAGGAGCCACUGCCGCAGAGUGACGGGUGGCCAUUGAGUUGUCAGGGCCCGAGUCCUCUAAACUAAGCUCAUUCUCAGCCAAGGAAUGGACUCCCUUGCCCUCAAAGCCCCCUACAGUGUUCCUGUGGAUGCUGGCCAUGAGCUGCCUGUUUCAGGAAAUCCACAAGCAGGGUCAAGCUUGGACCAGCAUGGAGGUAAGCCCAUGCUAAAACCCCAUCACUAGUGAGUGAAGCUAGAGGACCAUUCAAGACCAGCCUGUGCUACAUAGCAAGACUGUCUUGAAAGAAAGAGAAAGAAAAGAAAAGAAAGGAAACAAGCUUGUCUUAUGUGUGCUCACACACACAUAUUAAAUGCUGGUUCUUUUCCCUGAAUAAAGAAAGCACUGAUUUCUGAAUCUCAGAGAACCUAAAUCUAAAACCAAUGGCCUUUCCUAAAAAAGACUUAAGUGAACAGUUGACUGGUGGGUGUGUUGUGGUGACUCAUCUUAGACCUUCCACUGGAUCACGGUAUUUGACCGUGUCAGUCUGCAUAGUUGCCCUGAUUGGUAGUUUGUUAUCUGUUUUGUACACUUCUGUUACAAGUGAAGAUUUUCUACAACUAAGGCAAACGACCAGUUGAAAUGAACUACAGGAACCUGAGAAAAUGUUUAUGUAUAGCCUGAAGUUGAAAAGGGAUAAUAAUCUAUUUAUUGAUACUGUUGUUUAUGUUGUUAUCUCUCAGAGAUGCAUGUUGUGCUAUAACAUGGUACAAGGAAUAAAAGUUUAUCAG